Molecule: non-coding RNA, 72 nt
Organism: Ictidomys tridecemlineatus (thirteen-lined ground squirrel)
Lineage: Eukaryota; Metazoa; Chordata; Mammalia; Rodentia; Sciuridae
Source: Rfam
UGGGUUGUGGCUCAGAGGUCGAGUACUUGCUUACCAUGCAUGAGGCACUGGGUUCUAUCCUCAGCACCACAU